GACGAACGCUGGCGGCGUGCUUAACACAUGCAAGUCGAACGAAGAGCGAUGGAAGCUUGCUUCUAUCAAUCUUAGUGGCGAACGGGUGAGUAACGCGUAGUCAACCUGCCCUUCAGAGGGGGACAACAGUUGGAAACGACUGCUAAUACCGCAUACGAUCUAAUCUCGGCAUCGAGGAUAGAUGAAAGGUGGCCUCUACAUGUAAGCUAUCACUGAAGGAGGGGAUUGCGUCUGAUUAGCUAGUUGGAGGGGUAACGGCCCACCAAGGCGAUGAUCAGUAGCCGGUCUGAGAGGAUGAACGGCCACAUUGGGACUGAGACACGGCCCAGACUCCUACGGGAGGCAGCAGUGGGGAAUCUUCCGCAAUGGACGAAAGUCUGACGGAGCAACGCCGCGUGAGUGAUGACGGCCUUCGGGUUGUAAAGCUCUGUUAAUCGGGACGAAAGGCCUUCUUGCGAAUAGUGAGAAGGAUUGACGGUACCGGAAUAGAAAGCCACGGCUAACUACGUG
RNAcentral lists this ribosomal RNA (510 nucleotides) under uncultured bacterium. RNAcentral's name for it is "partial 16S ribosomal RNA". It matches the Rfam family "Bacterial small subunit ribosomal RNA", at positions 28 to 507 of the family's 1533-position model. The record is from RNAcentral.